This 71-nucleotide transfer RNA is filed under the name Misgurnus anguillicaudatus (oriental weatherfish). RNAcentral describes it as "tRNA-Ser". It matches the Rfam family "tRNA". Rfam says of the family: Transfer RNA (tRNA) molecules are approximately 80 nucleotides in length. The record is from RNAcentral. Lineage: Eukaryota; Metazoa; Chordata; Actinopteri; Cypriniformes; Cobitidae.
AAGGAAAUGGCAGAGUGGUUAUGCGGCUGGCUUGAAACCAGCACAUGGGGGUUCAAUUCCCCCUUUCCUCG